Molecule: ribosomal RNA, 1592 nt
Filed under: Escherichia coli
Lineage: Bacteria; Pseudomonadati; Pseudomonadota; Gammaproteobacteria; Enterobacterales; Enterobacteriaceae
Description: partial 23S ribosomal RNA
Rfam family: Bacterial large subunit ribosomal RNA
Source: RNAcentral
GGGGCAGGGUGAGUCGACCCCUAAGGCGAGGCCGAAAGGCGUAGUCGAUGGGAAACAGGUUAAUAUUCCUGUACUUGGUGUUACUGCGAAGGGGGGACGGAGAAGGCUAUGUUGGCCGGGCGACGGUUGUCCCGGUUUAAGCGUGUAGGCUGGUUUUCCAGGCAAAUCCGGAAAAUCAAGGCUGAGGCGUGAUGACGAGGCACUACGGUGCUGAAGCAACAAAUGCCCUGCUUCCAGGAAAAGCCUCUAAGCAUCAGGUAACAUCAAAUCGUACCCCAAACCGACACAGGUGGUCAGGUAGAGAAUACCAAGGCGCUUGAGAGAACUCGGGUGAAGGAACUAGGCAAAAUGGUGCCGUAACUUCGGGAGAAGGCACGCUGAUAUGUAGGUGAAGUCCCUCGCGGAUGGAGCUGAAAUCAGUCGAAGAUACCAGCUGGCUGCAACUGUUUAUUAAAAACACAGCACUGUGCAAACACGAAAGUGGACGUAUACGGUGUGACGCCUGCCCGGUGCCGGAAGGUUAAUUGAUGGGGUCAGCGCAAGCGAAGCUCUUGAUCGAAGCCCCGGUAAACGGCGGCCGUAACUAUAACGGUCCUAAGGUAGCGAAAUUCCUUGUCGGGUAAGUUCCGACCUGCACGAAUGGCGUAAUGAUGGCCAGGCUGUCUCCACCCGAGACUCAGUGAAAUUGAACUCGCUGUGAAGAUGCAGUGUACCCGCGGCAAGACGGAAAGACCCCGUGAACCUUUACUAUAGCUUGACACUGAACAUUGAGCCUUGAUGUGUAGGAUAGGUGGGAGGCUUUGAAGUGUGGACGCCAGUCUGCAUGGAGCCGACCUUGAAAUACCACCCUUUAAUGUUUGAUGUUCUAACGUGGACCCGUGAUCCGGGUUGCGGACAGUGUCUGGUGGGUAGUUUGACUGGGGCGGUCUCCUCCUAAAGAGUAACGGAGGAGCACGAAGGUUGGCUAAUCCUGGUCGGACAUCAGGAGGUUAGUGCAAUGGCAUAAGCCAGCUUGACUGCGAGCGUGACGGCGCGAGCAGGUGCGAAAGCAGGUCAUAGUGAUCCGGUGGUUCUGAAUGGAAGGGCCAUCGCUCAACGGAUAAAAGGUACUCCGGGGAUAACAGGCUGAUACCGCCCAAGAGUUCAUAUCGACGGCGGUGUUUGGCACCUCGAUGUCGGCUCAUCACAUCCUGGGGCUGAAGUAGGUCCCAAGGGUAUGGCUGUUCGCCAUUUAAAGUGGUACGCGAGCUGGGUUUAGAACGUCGUGAGACAGUUCGGUCCCUAUCUGCCGUGGGCGCUGGAGAACUGAGGGGGGCUGCUCCUAGUACGAGAGGACCGGAGUGGACGCAUCACUGGUGUUCGGGUUGUCAUGCCAAUGGCACUGCCCGGUAGCUAAAUGCGGAAGAGAUAAGUGCUGAAAGCAUCUAAGCACGAAACUUGCCCCGAGAUGAGUUCUCCCUGACCCUUUAAGGGUCCUGAAGGAACGUUGAAGACGACGACGUUGAUAGGCCGGGUGUGUAAGCGCAGCGAUGCGUUGAGCUAACCGGUACUAAUGAACCGUGAGGCUUAACCUUACAACGCCGAAGGUGUUU